Molecule: long non-coding RNA, 473 nt
Filed under: Homo sapiens (human)
Lineage: Eukaryota; Metazoa; Chordata; Mammalia; Primates; Hominidae
Description: ST7 overlapping transcript 4
Rfam family: ST7 overlapping transcript 4 conserved region 3 (bases 1-74)
Source: RNAcentral
GAUAUCUGCUUGGUAUCUUCUCAAUAUCUUGACCAUCUGUGACAAUUUUAAUCCUCAUUUGAUCAUAUUUUAUGGUAAAUGAGCUUAACUCGAUUUUUUUUUAAUUUAGAUGCCUCCUAAUGUACUAUAACAGGUGCUAUGAUAAGAAAGAUGAAUGAGUUUGUAAAACCCAGGGUAAAUAAGGAGUUUACUACAAGAAUACAACUUCCCAUAUGCAAGAUGGGGCUGGGCAAGGCUGUGAGAGCUUCUCUUGAAUUGAGCCUAAGAGGAUGAGGAGAAUUCCAUGAUUGAGGACUCAGAGGUGGACCUCCCAAACAAAGGGACAAAGUUGUGAAAGUGCAGGUCAGAUUCAGAGAAGAGCUAAUCGUGGAAUUUAAUUUAAAAUAAUAAAAGAAAAGGACUUUGAUGAACAACCAUACCGUUUUUAGCUCUUACAUCGUGUAGUUUUCCAAGUAAAAAUGCUUUGAAUGCUG